This is a long non-coding RNA of Cygnus olor (mute swan), 484 nucleotides long. RefSeq lists it as uncharacterized. The record is from RefSeq and is a predicted model, not a curated record. Lineage: Eukaryota; Metazoa; Chordata; Aves; Anseriformes; Anatidae. The transcript is spliced from 3 exons.
CCUGCGGGAAAGUGGGAUAGAGAAUGCCAGAGGUUACAAAUACCACAGUGUUAAUCUGAGGGCUCACUUCGAAGCCAGCUGAUGGGACAGGCUGGACCACGAUGCUGAGGAAAGAACAUGAGAGCCAGAGAGGAUAGGUUUCACGCCAUGGCCGCGCACAAUGGAGCCCUUUCUCUGCUCUGUUCUGAGCCAAACACUUAUAGAUAGAAAGGGCUGCAAAAGCGUUCCUGAUUGCUGAAAUAUUGCCCAUGGAGCGUUUAUUAUUACUGCAUUAAACGAAAUGGAGUCCUCAGUGGUAUUCGCUGCGUGUGUCAUCAAGCUCUGGCCUUCCAAACACAUUUAAUCGACAUCCAUCUCACAGCUAAUGAAAUGAAAAGCCGAAAGUUGUUAAGUUUCACAGGUGAUAAAACAAAUUAUGCAUAAUUCAGAGAUUAAUAUUAGGUAAGUCCCAUUCAAAGAGCAUCAGUAAUGCAAUGCAGCCUGG